This 496-nucleotide ribosomal RNA is filed under the name uncultured bacterium. RNAcentral's name for it is "partial 16S ribosomal RNA". It matches the Rfam family "Bacterial small subunit ribosomal RNA", at positions 29 to 507 of the family's 1533-position model. The record is from RNAcentral.
AUGCACGCUGGCGGCGUGCCUAAUACAUGCCAGUCGCGCGAACAGACGAGGAGCUUGCUCCUCUGACGUUAGCGGCGGACGGGUGAGUAACACGUGGAUAACCUACCUAUAAGACUGGGAUAACUUCGGGAAACCGGAGCUAAUACCGGAUAAUAUAUUGAACCGCAUGGUUCAAUAGUGAAAGACGGUUUUGCUGUCACUUAUAGAUGGAUCCGCGCCGCAUUAGCUAGUUGGUAAGGUAACGGCUUACCAAGGCAACGAUGCGUAGCCGACCUGAGAGGGUGAUCGGCCACACUGGAACUGAGACACGGUCCAGACUCCUACGGGAGGCAGCAGUAGGGAAUCUUCCGCAAUGGGCGAAAGCCUGACGGAGCAACGCCGCGUGAGUGAUGAAGGUCUUCGGAUCGUAAAACUCUGUUAUUAGGGAAGAACAAAUGUGUAAGUAACUAUGCACGUCUUGACGGUACCUAAUCAGAAAGCCACGGCUAACUACGUG